This 253-nucleotide ribosomal RNA is filed under the name uncultured bacterium. RNAcentral describes it as "partial 16S ribosomal RNA". It matches the Rfam family "Bacterial small subunit ribosomal RNA", at positions 524 to 776 of the family's 1533-position model. The record is from RNAcentral.
UACGGAGGGUGCAAGCGUUGCUCGGAAUUAUUGGGCGUAAAGCGCACGUAGGUGGUCUAUCAAGUCAGGGGUGAAAGCCCUGGGCUCAACCCAGGAAGUGCACUUGAAACUGACGGGCUAGAGUACUGGAGAGGUUGGUGGAAUUCUCGGUGUAGAGGUGAAAUUCGUAGAUAUCGCGAGGAACACCGGUGGCGAAGGCGGCCAACUGGACAGAUACUGACGCUGAGACUCGAAAGCGUGGGGAGCAAACAGG